This 1361-nucleotide ribosomal RNA is filed under the name uncultured bacterium. Its description in RNAcentral is "bacterial SSU rRNA". It matches the Rfam family "Bacterial small subunit ribosomal RNA", at positions 26 to 1390 of the family's 1533-position model. The record is from RNAcentral.
GAAUCACGCUGGUGGCGUGCGUAACACAUGCAAGUCGAACGGGAAAACGGGGGCAACUCCGUGAGUAGAGUGGCAGACGGGUGAGUAACACGUGAACAAUCUACCCUUGAGAGGGGAAUAACCCCGCGAAAGCGGGGCUAAUACCGCAUAACAUCUCUGAGUCGCAUGGCUUGGGGAUCAAAGGCUUCGGUCGCUCAAGGAGGAGUUCGCGGCUGAUUAGCUAGUUGGUGAGGUAACGGCCCACCAAGGCGACGAUCAGUAGCCGGCCUGAGAGGGCGUACGGCCACACUGGAACUGGGACACGGUCCAGACUCCUACGGGAGGCAGCAGUGGGGAAUUUUGCGCAAUGGGCGAAAGCCUGACGCAGCAACGCCGCGUGGAGGAUGAAGGCCUUCGGGUCGUAAACUCCUGUCAGGGGGGACGAAACGCCCGGCAACGGGCUUUGACUGUACCCUCUGAGGAAGCCACGGCUAACUCCGUGCCAGCAGCCGCGGUAAUACGGAGGUGGCAAGCGUUGUUCGGAAUUACUGGGCGUAAAGGGCGCGUAGGCGGCUAGGCAAGUCAGGUGUGAAAGCCCCGGGCUUAACCCGGGAAUUGCAUCUGAAACUGCUGUGCUUGAGUUCUGGAGGGGGUAGUGGAAUUCCCAGUGUAGCGGUGAAAUGCGUAGAUAUUGGGAGGAACACCUGCGGCGAAGGCGGCUACCUGGACAGAAACUGACGCUGAGGCGCGAAAGCUAGGGGAGCGAACGGGAUUAGAUACCCCGGUAGUCCUAGCUGUAAACGAUGGGUACUUGGUGUUGGGGGUAUUGAGUCCCCCAGUGCCGGAGUUAACACGUUAAGUGCCCCGCCUGGGGAGUACGGUCGCAAGACUGAAACUCAAAGGAAUUGACGGGGGCCCGCACAAGCGGUGGAGCAUGUGGUUCAAUUCGACGCAACGCGAAGAACCUUACCUGGGUUUGACAUGUGCAGGACCGGUGAUGAAAGUCACUCUCCCUUUGGGGCCUGCGCACAGGUGCUGCAUGGCUGUCGUCAGCUCGUGUCGUGAGAUGUUGGGUUAAGUCCCGCAACGAGCGCAACCCUUGCCCUCUGUUGCUACCGGGUCAUGCCGGGCACUCUGAGGGGACUGCCCCGGUGAACGGGGAGGAAGGUGGGGAUGACGUCAAGUCCUCAUGGCCUUUAUGUCCAGGGCUACACACGUGCUACAAUGGUCAGGACAAUGGGUCGCUCCCUCGCAAGAGGUUGCCAAUCUCAAAAACCUGGCCCUAGUUCGGAUGGUCGGCUGCAACUCGCCGGCCUGAAGCUGGAAUCGCUAGUAAUCGGAGAUCAGCACGCUCCGGUGAUAUAUCCCGGCGUUGCACACCC